Molecule: ribosomal RNA, 503 nt
Filed under: uncultured bacterium
Lineage: Bacteria
Description: bacterial SSU rRNA
Rfam family: Bacterial small subunit ribosomal RNA
Source: RNAcentral
AACGAACGCUGGCGGCGCGCCUAAUACAUGCAAGUCGAGCGAGAAGACGUAGCAAUACGUUUGUAAAGCGGCGAACGGGUGAGGAAUACAUGGGUAACCUACCCUCGAGUGGGGAAUAACUAGCCGAAAGGUUAGCUAAUACCGCGUACGCUCCUUGGACUUCGGUUCAGGGAGGAAAGCGAUACCGUGGGUAUCGCGCUCUUGGAUGGGCUCAUGUCCUAUCAGCUUGUUGGUGAGGUAACGGCUCACCAAGGCUUCGACGGGUAGCUGGUCUGAGAGGACGAUCAGCCACACUGGCACCUGCGACACGGGCCAGACUCCAACGGGAGGCAGCAGUAAGGAAUAUUGCGCAAUGGGCGAAAGCCUGACGCAGCGACGCCGCGUGGGGGAUGAAGGUCUUCGGAUUGUAAACCCCUUUCGGGAGGGAAGAUGGAACGAGCAAUCGUUCGGACGGUACCUCCAGAAGCAGCCACGGCUAACUUCGUGCCACGCCGCCGCCGUAA